Molecule: ribosomal RNA, 406 nt
Filed under: uncultured bacterium
Lineage: Bacteria
Description: partial 16S ribosomal RNA
Rfam family: Bacterial small subunit ribosomal RNA
Source: RNAcentral
AUUGAACGCUGGCGGCAGGCCUAACACAUGCAAGUCGAACGAGUGGCGGACGGGUGAGUAAUGUCUGGGAAACUGCCCGAUGGAGGGGGAUAACUACUGGAAACGGUAGCUAAUACCGCAUACCAUCGGAUGUGCCCAGAUGGGAUUAGCUUGUAGGUGAGGUAACGGCUCACCUAGGCAACGAUCCCUAGCUGGUCUGGGAGGAUGACCGGCAACACUGGAACUGAGAAACGGUCCCGACUCCUAAGGUAGGUAGCAGUGGGGAAUAUUGCACAAUGGGCGCGAGCCUGAUGCAGCCAUGCCGAGUGUAUGAAGAAGGCCUUCGAGUUUGAAAGUACUUUCAGCGGGGAGGCGUUACCCGCAGAAGAAGCAACGGCUAACUCCGUGCCAGCAGCCGCGGUAAUAC